Molecule: ribosomal RNA, 261 nt
Filed under: Salmonella enterica
Lineage: Bacteria; Pseudomonadati; Pseudomonadota; Gammaproteobacteria; Enterobacterales; Enterobacteriaceae
Description: partial 23S ribosomal RNA
Rfam family: Bacterial large subunit ribosomal RNA
Source: RNAcentral
CUGCUCCUAGUACGAGAGGACCGGAGUGGACGAACCUCUGGUGUACCGGUUGUAACGCCAGUUGCAUAGCCGGGUAGCUAAGUUCGGAAGAGAUAAGCGCUGAAAGCAUCUAAGCGCGAAACUCGCCUGAAGAUGAGACUUCCCUUGCGGUUUAACCGCACUAAAGGGUCGUUCGAGACCAGGACGUUGAUAGGUGGGGUGUGGAAGCGCGGUAACGCGUGAAGCUAACCCAUACUAAUUGCCCGUGAGGCUUGACUCUAU